Molecule: small nuclear RNA, 143 nt
Organism: Erinaceus europaeus (western European hedgehog)
Lineage: Eukaryota; Metazoa; Chordata; Mammalia; Eulipotyphla; Erinaceidae
Product: U4 spliceosomal RNA
Exons: 1
Source: RefSeq, a predicted model, not a curated record
AGCUUUGCGCAGUGGCAGUAUCGUAGCCAAUGAGGUUUAUCCAAGGCAUGAUUAUUGCUAAUUGAUAAUUAUGGGGUGCAGAAGGUGGAAGGUGGAAAGUGUAACUUCUGUAACUGCUUCCCCACUGAACGUGGGUGUUGGCA